CAUGCAUUUCUUUGGAAAAAAGGAGGAGGAAGGAAAGGAGUACCCGGAGGAAACCUCCAUAGCACGGGAGAGAUCGGUUUUAUUGGUGUGAUUUGUGACAAGUCUCUUCUCUAAGCUGAUGAAAUCAACUGCUCAUUUCAUUCAAAGAAGAACUAAGCACACGCAAGAAUGAUGCAGAUGUGUCUCAAAUGUGAAGAGGAUGUGUCCCAAACAGAAAGGAAUCAUCAGGGUCAUGGGGAACCUGGACCCUAUCGCUAGGAACUUGGGGCAGAAGGCGGAGGACACCUUGGAUGAGAUGCUAAUCACACACCAAUUCACACACGAUGGACAAUCUGGAAAUGCCAAUCACCCUACAAUGUAUGACUUUGGCCUGGGGGAAAACCCCGAAGCACAGGGAGAACAUGCAAACUCCGUCCUGGAUUUGGGAU
Ictalurus punctatus (channel catfish) is the source of this 428-nucleotide long non-coding RNA. The record is from Ensembl. Lineage: Eukaryota; Metazoa; Chordata; Actinopteri; Siluriformes; Ictaluridae.